Molecule: ribosomal RNA, 445 nt
Filed under: uncultured bacterium
Lineage: Bacteria
Description: bacterial SSU rRNA
Rfam family: Bacterial small subunit ribosomal RNA
Source: RNAcentral
GCACCGGCUAACUCCGUGCCAGCAGCCGCGGUAAUACNGAGGGUGCAAGCGUUGUUCGGAUUUAUUGGGCGUAAAGCGCGUGUANGCGGUUUGUUAAGUCUGAUGUGAAAGCCCUGGGCUCAACCUGGGAAGUGCAUUGGAAACUGGCAGACUUGAAUACGGGAGAGGGUAGUGGAAUUCCUAGUGUAGGAGUGAAAUCCGUAGAUAUUAGGAGGAACACCGGUGGCGAAGGCGGCUACCUGGACCGAUAUUGACGCUGAGACGCGAAAGCGUGGGGAGCAAACAGGAUUAGAUACCCUGGUAGUCCACGCCGUAAACGAUGAGUACUAGGUGUUGCGGGUAUUGACCCCUGCAGUGCCGCAGCUAACGCAUUAAGUACUCCGCCUGGGAAGUACGGUCGCAAGACUAAAACUCAAAGGAAUUGACGGAAUCACUANUGAAUUCU